Piliocolobus tephrosceles (Ugandan red Colobus) is the source of this 344-nucleotide long non-coding RNA. RefSeq lists it as uncharacterized. The transcript is spliced from 3 exons. Lineage: Eukaryota; Metazoa; Chordata; Mammalia; Primates; Cercopithecidae. The record is from RefSeq and is a predicted model, not a curated record.
GUGUAGCGGCUGCCUCUGUGGCGGCGACGGAGCUCGCAGCUGCGGCUUCUGAAGAGUAAGUGGCGUGGUAGCGAAGGCCGCCGAACCCGCCUGGCUAGCCGGCGAACCUUUUGAAACAGAUGGUCACCAUGUUUGGAUAUUAGCAGUCCCGUAUGUGCAUGUCUGCGUUUGAAAAUGGCAGAGGGAAACAGCAAUGAAGAGGUGAUUCACUUGAACAACUUUCACUGCCAUCGGGGACAAGACUUUGUAAUUUUCUUCUGGAAAACCCAGAUUAUCCAAAGAGAGAAGAUAGAAUCAUCAUAAACCCCAGUAGCAGUCUGCUGGCCAGCCAGGAUGAGACAAAG